GCCCCGGUAAACGGCGGCCGUAACUAUAACGGUCCUAAGGUAGCGAAAUUCCUUGUCGGGUAAGUUCCGACCUGCACGAAUGGCGUAAUGAUGGCCAGGCUGUCUCCACCCGAGACUCAGUGAAAUUGAACUCGCUGUGAAGAUGCAGUGUACCCGCGGCAAGACGGAAAGACCCCGUGAACCUUUACUAUAGCUUGACACUGAACAUUGAGCCUUGAUGUGUAGGAUAGGUGGGAGGCUUUGAAGUGUGGACGCCAGUCUGCAUGGAGCCGACCUUGAAAUACCACCCUUUAAUGUUUGAUGUUCUAACGUUGGCCCGUAAUCCGGGUUGCGGACAGUGUCUGGUGGGUAGUUUGACUGGGGCGGUCUCCUCCUAAAGAGUAACGGAGGAGCACGAAGGUUGGCUAAUCCUGGUCGGACAUCAGGAGGUUAGUGCAAUGGCAUAAGCCAGCUUGACUGCGAGCGUGACGGCGCGAGCAGGUGCGAAAGCAGGUCAUAGUGAUCCGGUGGUUCUGAAUGGAAGGGCCAUCGCUCAACGGAUAAAAGGUACUCCGGGGAUAACAGGCUGAUACCGCCCAAGAGUUCAUAUCGACGGCGGUGUUUGGCACCUCGAUGUCGGCUCAUCACAUCCUGGGGCUGAAGUAGGUCCCAAGGGUAUGGCUGUUCGCCAUUUAAAGUGGUACGCGAGCUGGGUUUAGAACGUCGUGAGACAGUUCGGUCCCUAUCUGCCGUGGGCGCUGGAGAACUGAGGGGGGCUGCUCCUAGUACGAGAGGACCGGAGUGGACGCAUCACUGGUGUUCGGGUUGUCAUGCCAAUGGCACUGCCCGGUAGCUAAAUGCGGAAGAGAUAAGUGCUGAAAGCAUCUAAGCACGAAACUUGCCCCGAGAUGAGUUCUCCCUGACUCCUUGAGGGUCCUGAAGGAACGUUGAAGAC
This 934-nucleotide ribosomal RNA is filed under the name Escherichia coli. RNAcentral's name for it is "partial 23S ribosomal RNA". It matches the Rfam family "Bacterial large subunit ribosomal RNA", at positions 1917 to 2845 of the family's 2925-position model. The record is from RNAcentral. Lineage: Bacteria; Pseudomonadati; Pseudomonadota; Gammaproteobacteria; Enterobacterales; Enterobacteriaceae.